Molecule: long non-coding RNA, 556 nt
Filed under: Pongo abelii (Sumatran orangutan)
Lineage: Eukaryota; Metazoa; Chordata; Mammalia; Primates; Hominidae
Description: lincRNA
Source: RNAcentral
GUUCACCAUUUUGUGUGUCCAAGGACCACCUACUUUUUACAUAUGACAAGAACUACCCACCUCCACUCUUCAGGACAGAACAUGCUGGAGAAAAGAGUUACAAUGAGAAAAUAUAUGGGAACAAAAUACCUAUGCAAUGCAGAAGUCUGCAUAACUAAACCACUCAGAGGAAAAAAAUUGCCAUUUCAGGACACCUCCUACAUCUGAAGAAAUAUGUAUUGAUCUUGAAAUAUUUUUCUCCUCCAAAUAAAAGUCAGUAUGAUAACAACUACACUAUCAGAAGUCUAAGCCAAAGGACACUUCAGUUAUCCAAUCUUGCAACAAAGUCAUUUAAGCACCUAAUAUGGGCUACUGUUGGCACUAGGGGCAUUGAGAACUUCAGAUUUGAUUAACACCCAAGAGCUGCUACCAUAAAAUAAACUAGGCAGCUACUAGGCAAUAAGAUGAGGCACAUGUGUAAAACUUCUGCUUUUAGCUUGGUGAAGAGUGGUUACACAGCCAUUAUUACAAAAAUUGCAUUUUUCCACAAAUAAAGACAUCACUUGUCUAGAGAGUA